Molecule: ribosomal RNA, 260 nt
Filed under: uncultured bacterium
Lineage: Bacteria
Description: partial 16S ribosomal RNA
Rfam family: Bacterial small subunit ribosomal RNA
Source: RNAcentral
GUCCACGCCGUAAACUAUGAAUGCUAGCUAUUGGCGAUACACAGUCAGUGGCACAGAGAAAUCGUUAAGCAUUCCACCUGGGGAGUACGCCGGCAACGGUGAAACUCAAAGGAAUUGACGGGGGGCCCGCACAAGCGGAGGAACAUGUGGUUUAAUUCGAUGAUACGCGAGGAACCUUACCCGGGUUUGAACGCAGGGGGAAUACGGUUGAAAGAUCGUCGCUAGCAAUAGCCGCCUGCGAGGUGCUGCAUGGUUGUCGU